RNA transcript from Oncorhynchus kisutch (coho salmon), 4139 nucleotides. RefSeq lists it as uncharacterized. The transcript has 3 exons. The record is from RefSeq and is a predicted model, not a curated record. NCBI's taxonomy places the organism in Eukaryota, Metazoa, Chordata, Actinopteri, Salmoniformes, Salmonidae.
AGGGAGGUGAACAAGAACUCAAUGAUCCCUCUGACAGAACUACAGCUGAGAUGUAGCUAACCUGUACUUGGCUGAUGGGCUAACCUGCCAGAAGGACAACAGUCUCUACAGCACUUUACCAAUCUGGGCUUUAUGGGAGAGUGGCCACUCCCGAGCUGAGAAAAAGGCACAUGACCACAUGUGAUGGGUUUGCAAAAAGAUUCUGUGGUCUGAUGAGACAAAUGUAACUCUUUGGUCUGAAUGCAAAGCUCUACAUCUGGAAGAGGCACAGCUCAUCAUACCAUCCCUCCCGUGAAGCAUGGUGGUGGUGGCAUCAUGCUAUGGGGAUGCUUUUCAGCGGCAUGGACUGGGAGACUGGUAAGGAUAGAAGGAACAACGAAUGGAGCCAAACAAAUGCAUAUCCUUGAUGAGAACCUGCAUCAGUGCAAAUGACAUUUGACUAGGGUGAAGAUUUACAUUCCAACAGGACAGUGACCCCAAGCAUUACAGCCAAAGCAACAAUGGAAUGGCUUCAGAACAAGAAUGUGAAAGUCCUUGAAUGGCCCAGUCAAAGCCCGGCCUUUAAUCCCAUUAAAUAUGUUGAAAGACUUGAAGAUUGCUGUUCAACACCACGCCCCAUCUAAUUUAGCAGAGCUUGAGAACGUCUGCAAGAAAGAAUGGGAGAAAAUCCCCAAAUCCAGAUGUGCAAAGCUGAUCCAGACAUACCCAAGAAGACUCAAAGCUGUAAUCACCACCAAAGGUGCUUCUACAAAGCAUUGACUCAGGGGUGUGGAUACUUAUGUACACGAGAUAUUUCACUUUCAAUACAUUUAUAAACAUUUUCACUUUGUCAUUAUGGGGUAUCUAGAUGGGUGACGGGAAAAAAAGAUUCAUUUAAUUCAGGAUGUAACAACAAUGUAGAAUAAAUCAAAGGGUUCGAAUACAUUCUGAAGGCACUGUACAUAUUCCAAACACUGUGCUAGAAAGAGAUAUUCACACAAAUAUAUGCACGCUUAGUAAUUGUAUUAAAUGUUAAAUUACAACCUUUUCAGGUUGUUUCGCGAAACCAUUCUAUGCAAAGAAAACAAGCGUUGCCAGUUGACAUUAGCUAGCGGCUCACUAACGUUUGGUGGGGACAGGCGCGGUGUGUUGCUUGACACAACACGUGCGGCGGCGGGGGAACAAAACAAUAACAAAGCGGAGGUCAGAAUAUAGUCACAUUUACGUAAGCUAGCAGUUCUAUCUCGACAUAAAAUGUAAAAUACUACCCAUCUUACAUUCGUGGGAGCUGCAGAGGUGGAGCCCCUCGUCUCUGGAACACCCCAUCCACAAACACCCCGUUUUUGCCGAGGCAUCGGAGGUAGAAUUCCCCGCUACCGGUGCCGUCUUCACCAGCGGUGAAAAUUUCGAGGUGCCGGCGAGAGAUGAAACUGGAGUGGCCCAUGCUAACGUCCACCGAGCCCUGCGAUGAGUUCCGUCCGAUGGUCGCCGACCUCUUCUUCAUCAGGAACGUGCCAGAUCGGGGACACAGCGGCUCCAACCCACCGCCGCGACAGAGAGAAAGAGAAGGGACAACAGCCAACCAAAGGAGGCCAAAUGGGCGGAAAGGAGGUUACUGAUGGCUCAACGAUCCAAUCACUUCAAAGAUUGGACUCUCAUCACCAGUCCACACCCCCAUCUCUCUCCAAUCCCCAGAAGUAAGUCACUUGGGCAGAAAGUCAUCCACAGCAACCUCCAGGUUGCCUACGUACCAGAAGAUCCAGAAGAACAGGCUGAGGAAGAUGAUGAUGGGCCCAGAGAAGACCAAAAAGUCCCAGAAGCUGAAGGGUGCAAAGAUGCCCAGGAAGAACAGGAUGAGGCCCACAACAUCCAGGAAGAUGGCGAUGAAGAAGAAGAGAAGGCAGCGGCCCAGGUACUGAGUGUAGCCCAUGGUGGAGAGAGUGUCUGUCGUGAAGGUAUUUAUCCCCCUCCUACCAUGUAAAUACCACUUCUAAUGAUUCUAUGGCUGCUAGCUAUUUCCCUUGCAUUCACUGUAACAAGAUCAUUUCAAUGUUUACACUAGGAUAACUACUCAUACAUAUAUCCCUGUACUUUCUCUGCAUUGUUCGGGUAAUCUACCCUACAGUGCAUCUGACUGAAUGAGGAAGCAAGGAAGAUGUGUUUUAUAAAAAGGCCCGUGUAGGCUACAUUCCAGUGAGCUUGAUCUAUCACACUUCACAUCUCACAUAGUUCCCAUAGCGGGACUGCUGCCAGGGGGAACAUGUGCGUUAGUCUCACUAAUGAUGACAAAAAGGUUCAAAUGUUCUUCUUCCAUCUCUGUUGUGGGGGUUUUGGACACGUUUCCAGUUCAUAAACAUACCACAUUCCAACACUAGGGGUUGGUUGGGCAUCGUAUGCCCUACAGGUGGCUUCAAAGGUUGGAGAAUAUGAAUGUUUGAUAGACAUGAGAAACAUCUUUGCUAACUAACACUCCAAUAACUAACAGUGUUCAUUUCAUUAAAUGUUUUAUUUUUAAUUAGGUAACAAGCCAGUAACCGAAAGGUUGCAGGAUCGAAUCCCCAAACUGACAAGGUAAAAAAAAAAAUCUGUCGUUCUGCCCCUGAACAAGGCAGUUAACCCGCUGUUCCUAGGCAGUCAUUGUAAAUAAGAAUGUUCUUAACUGACUUGCCUAGUUAAAAGGUUACAUUAAAUAUGGAAUGGAGAUGCAGUCGUUGUGCCAGUGUGUAUUCCGCAAGGUUCAGAAUGUUCCAGAAAAUAUAGUUCUACACAAUACAUUCUCUACCGUCUCUCUCGCUCUGUGUGUGUGUAGGGAUCUAUCAGUAUAACCAGUGGCAGACAGCCAGCACAGUGCUAUCAACACACUUGCUCUUACCAACCCCAAACAGAACAGACAGAUAGCAUAUCAAUACUACCUACCUAACCAGAUACAAACAUACACUAUACAUUAAUAAAUCAUAGGAUCUGAGCUUUGGAAGAUGUGUUUUGAUUUGUUUAUGUCCCUCAUGGAUUUAAGUAUAAUGUUUUUGAUGUGUAACUGUGAGCUAUCCAGUCAAUGAUGUCUGAUUAACAACUCAGAGAUAUGACGUUAGAAAAAAAGAAAAUAAACUUUAUUUAAGGAAAAUAUCUUCAAAAUGAACCAUGUAAAAUUCAGGACAUAACAUUUUUAGUUAUUUAGCUAAUUACAAGUAAAAUUCUGCCAUUUCUAUCCUCAGUGCAGGGGCUCGGACAUUGUGUCAGACGGCCUCUUCCUGAACAAAAAUAGUAUUCUCUAUUGAAAAAGUGUCUUUGGUUCAUAUAGGCUAAAAAGGUAUUCAGUCGGUUGGGAUUUGAAAAGCAGGGCUUGGAGUAGGCAUACGUUUUUCAAACUGGAGAAUCCGAGAACACCUGCAACAGAGGAAAAAUGAGUGAGAAGGAGAACACCAAGAUUACAAAAACAUGUGAGAAAAUGUUUGACACAUUUUCUUUAUUUCCUAGUAUUGCGUUACUUCCACAACAUCCUGUGUUGUUAUGCAAUGUGCUGCAAACUAAUUUCCCUUCUGAGACAAUAACGAUUUAUUCAUUCAAAUGUUUUAGUCCCUAGAACAUGACGUUAUACCACAUGGGCGGAGGGCAUUUGUAUUAAUGAGCCUGCUAUAGCAAGGAAAACCACAUGAUUUGAAUCAUCUGGUCUUUUGCAGAGAGAGAAUCACAGCAAACCAUUAAAUCAAGCUUUAUUUAUACAGCACAUUUCAGACAUGGAAUGCAACACAAUGUGCUUCACAUGAGAAAAAACAAACCAAUAAAAACAAAAGCUGAAAUAUUUACUACACAACAAACAAGAUUCAAAAAACAACAAGUAAAGAAUGACAAACUGAAUGACUAAAAAGCACCCUAAGAAACAGUAAAGCUAAAAAGAUGACCAGUGUCGGCCCCCUUCAGAUUCACUGGCAGGCGUUUCCAGACGCUGGGGGCAUAAUAACUCAAAUGCUGCGAAAAUCCUCUGGUGACACAAAUGUAAUGUUGUAUAUCGUUUCCGUUGCAGUGAAAAUUAAUGUUGUGCUUUCUGAUAAUGCUGCCAAGGGGUAACAUAUACUGAACCAAAUACAAAAUAUAAACAUGUAAAGUGUUGGUCCCAUGUUUCAUGAGCUGAAAUAAAAGGUCACAGAAAUGUUCCCAAAAAA